RNAcentral lists this unclassified non-coding RNA (561 nucleotides) under Hevea brasiliensis (rubber tree). Lineage: Eukaryota; Viridiplantae; Streptophyta; Magnoliopsida; Malpighiales; Euphorbiaceae. The record is from RNAcentral.
GAAACCUUUUGCUUCUUUGCAUUAAAGUCAGAUGUUUUGUCAGUGUUGGUCAAAUGUUGUGCAAAAUGACUACUCUCAUCAAAUUCAUCAUCUGAAAUUCUUCUAACAUAAUUGUUUGAGUUAUUGAAGACUAUUGAUUUGAUCAACGCCUCAUCCUCUUCUUCUAACUUCUUUUCCUUUUCAGCGGCCGUUCGUUGCAAAGCCACAAGCAUUGAAUCAACACUCACAUUUGCGUGUCUGGACUUCAUAGACUUCAUCUCAUCCAAAGCAGCAAGAAUGUCCAUCUCGCGUUUGGAAUCCAAGGUUCUAUUCUCCAAAGAUUUCAUUGGGUCCCCCAUCUCUUCAGCAUUUCUUUUGUGUUUCUCCUUCUCUGAAGCUUCAUCCUCCUCACGCCAUGGUUCAAAAUUACGUGUGGCUCCUGAUUCUACAACAUAGUCUGAGUUCUGGGGGUCUGUUUUAAUGGUGAGUUCAGCUGAACAUCUGGUACACUUGAAGUAGAACCUAAAAAUUUGAAUUCCCAAAUAUGUCUCACCAACGACGUCCUCCUUGCGAGAAUUAAAC